Sarcophilus harrisii (Tasmanian devil) is the source of this 1718-nucleotide long non-coding RNA. The record is from Ensembl. Lineage: Eukaryota; Metazoa; Chordata; Mammalia; Dasyuromorphia; Dasyuridae.
CCGGCCGAGUGCGUGCCUGGCAGGAGCCUUCUCUUUCCGGACUCCAUUUCCCAGAAGGCGCGGUGCCUCCUCGCCUGUUGCAUGUUUCCUCUGGCGCUCUCUACAGCACGACGCAGGGUAGGAUCGGUCUUCCAGUGUUUGGAGUUGGGAGUUACGAAUCGCCAUCCGACCGGGGAAGUCCGAUUUCCAAACUUGGGCUCUUGGUCCCCGUUGUCCUGGAAGAGGAAGGCAGUGGGGGCUUCCCUCAGGAGGAGACCCCCCCUCCGAGAGUCUACUGAGCUCCCUCUCUCUGGUGCCAGGGGCCCCAAAUGCCGGACAGAGAAGGGGUGACCAUGGAAAACCUGGCCCAGAUGCUUGGAGGGAGAGGUGAGCAAAGCUGGGGGGCAGGAGUGAACUCCAUUCUCUGUCUCCUCAUGUCCUCUUCCUCUCAAAUGAAUGAACCUUGACUGCCCGGCUCUCCCAACCUUUGCCGGUUCAUUCAAUCAUUGAAGAUUGUGGAUCGGCACUGCCUGUACCCCGUUUACACCUUCCUGCUGAAUGGUUGGGGGGGUCCACUCAGAGGGCUCCCCACCCCUUUUACCCUCAUGUGGGACCCUCAGCAAACACAGUUUCAUGACAUGGGCAGCUUGGGGAGAGGAUCAGUGAGAGAAGGCUCUGUGGGGAAGCCCUGAGGCAGGCUCCUCCCUUCUGUCUUCCUCUCUGCCAGGUGCUCUCCGUCCCCAGCAUAGGGGUGCCAUGGGCGAAUCACCAGGGACUUCUGGGGACCUCGCCAGCGGCUUUCAGGUGAGUUGGGGGCUCUUCCUUAAGCAUCACAGGUCUUUGUGUGGACCUGCACGUGCAAAGAAUCCAAGGCUCAGUCAUUCCUCCCGGAAGUUCGGGGUUGUUUGAUGGGUGACACAGUGUAGACUGAGUGUGAGAAAGAAAGUGUAGACACACAUUACGCCAUUAAUGCUAACAGAAGUCAUUUAUAAAUGGACAAAUUGUAGGUUGUAGAUGCCUUAGUAAGGGGCAGUUUCUGUUUUCAGCAUUAAUUAUUCUAAUUAUCUCCCUAACGUUGAAUUGUCCUUGCAUCACUGGUAUAAAUCUGACUCUAUUAUGAAGGCUGAUUUUGGAGAUAAAUAAUUGGAGCACUUUUGCUAGGAUUUUCUUGAAAAUUUUUAGAUUGAUAUUCAUUAAUGAUAUUAAUGGUUUUUCUUUCUUUGUUUGACUUAGGUUUUAAGAUUUUAUCUGUCUUGUACAAGGAAUUUGGUAGAAUCCAGUCUCAAAUUCUUGUAAAUAGUUUGUGUAAUAUAGGUAUUAAUUAUCCUUUAGUCAGUCAAUAAGCAGUGAUUAAGCACCUCCCUUGUGCCUGGCACUGUAGUAAGUCUGAGAUACAAAAAGAGGCAAAAGACAGUUCUUGCCCUCACAGAGCUUACAGUUUAAUGGGGGAAAUAGCAUGGAAACAGAGCAAAGCAAGCUCUCUACAGAAGAAAAAGGAAAGAGAGCUCAGGAAAGGCACUGAAGCUGAGGAGGUGGGGAAGGCUUCCUCUACAGGGUGGGGUUUUAAUUGAGUUUUCUAUUUGAUGUUCCAUUAAUUUGAGUAUUUUAUUCUUUUGCAAGUAAUCCUCUAUCUUUUUGAGUGCUCAGGAUUUUUUCCAUAUAAAUGUAUGUAGUAGGUUCUCAUUAUUCUUUUCAUUUCUUCUGUUUGUUGUGAUUUACCUUGUUGGUUAUUAAAAAUA